This 292-nucleotide ribosomal RNA is filed under the name uncultured bacterium. RNAcentral's name for it is "partial 16S ribosomal RNA". The record is from RNAcentral.
GGACUACUCGGGUUUCUAAUCCUGUUUGCUCCCCACGCUUUCGUGUCUCAGCGUCAGUAUCGGUCCAGGUCGCCGCCUUCGCCACUGGUGUUCCUCCCGAUAUCUACGAAUUUCACCUCUACACCGGGAAUUCCGCGACCCUCUCCCGUACUCAAGCUCGCCAGUUUCGAGUGCACUUCCUGGGUUGAGCCCAGGGCUUUCACACCCGACUUAACAAGCCGCCUACACACGCUUUACGCCCAAUGAUUCCGAGCAACGUUUGCACCCUCCGUAUUACCGCGGCUGCUGGCAC